This 495-nucleotide ribosomal RNA is filed under the name uncultured bacterium. RNAcentral describes it as "partial 16S ribosomal RNA". It matches the Rfam family "Bacterial small subunit ribosomal RNA", at positions 28 to 507 of the family's 1533-position model. The record is from RNAcentral.
GACGAACGCUGGCGGCGUGCCUAACACAUGCAAGUCGAACGAUGACGGCCGAGCUUGCUCCGCUGGAUGAGUUGCGAACGGGUGAGUAACGCGUAGGUAACCUGCCCGGUAGCGGGGGAUAACUACUGGAAACGAUAGCUAAUACCGCAUAAGAGCAGCUGUUGCAUGACAUUUGCUGGAAAGGUGCAAUUGGAAGACUACGAGAGGGGCCUGCGUUGUUUUGGCUAGUUGGUGGGGUAACGGCGCCCCUAGGCGAGGACACAGAGCCGACCGGCGAGGGGGGGCGGCCACCCUGGGAGUGAGACACGCCCCAGUCGCCUACGGGAGGCAGCAGUACUGCAUCUGCGGCCAUGGGCGGAAAUCAGUCCACGCAACGCCGCGGGAGGGUGGAAGGAUUUCGGGUCGUGAAUCUCGGUUGUCAGGUAGGAACGAGUGUUAGAGUGGAAAGUUGACACUGUGACGGUACCUUACCAGAAAGCGACGGCUAACUACGUG